CUAUGCGGCAGCAUGAACGCUUUAGUUCAUGAGGAAAGUCCGAGCAUCACAGAGCAGGGUAGCUGCUAACGGCAGCCGAGGGCGACCUUAGGGCUAGUGCAACAGAGAUAUACUGCCUCUUUUGAGGUGAUGGUGGAAAGGCGAGGUAAGAGCUCACCAGAGUGCGGGAGACCGUACUGCUAUGUAAACCCUACCCGGUGCAACGUCUAUUGGUACUUCAUAUCUUAACGUCUGCUCGGCGGAUAUGAGGUAAUGACGGCUAGAGCCCGCCGGCGACAGCGGGAGUAGAUAAAUUGCCGCACACGACAGAACUCGGCUUAUCGGUCUGGUC
This 331-nucleotide RNase P RNA is filed under the name uncultured Ruminococcus sp. Its description in RNAcentral is "Bacterial RNase P class A". It matches the Rfam family "Bacterial RNase P class A". Rfam says of the family: Ribonuclease P (RNase P) is a ubiquitous endoribonuclease, found in archaea, bacteria and eukarya as well as chloroplasts and mitochondria. Its best characterised activity is the generation of mature 5'-ends of tRNAs by cleaving the 5'-leader elements of precursor-tRNAs. The record is from RNAcentral. Lineage: Bacteria; Bacillati; Bacillota; Clostridia; Eubacteriales; Oscillospiraceae.